GUUCGGGACAACCACUGGAAACGGUGGCUAAUACCGGGUAUGCCGAGAGGUGAAAGGUAAACUGCCUGGAGAUGAGCUCGCGUCUGAUUAGCUAGUUGGUGGUGUAAGGGACUACCAAGGCGACGAUCAGUAGCUGGUCUGAGAGGAUGAUCAGCCACACUGGAACUGAGACACGGUCCAGACUCCUACGGGAGGCAGCAGUGGGGAAUUUUCCAAUGGGCGAAAGCCUGACGGAGCAAUACCGCGUGAGGGAGGAAGGCUCUUGGGUUGUAAACCUCUUUUCUCAAGGAAGAAUAUUGACGGUACUUGAGGAAUCAGCAUCGGCUAACUCCGUGCCAGCAGCCGCGGUAAUACGGAGGAUGCAAGCGUUAUCCGGAAUGAUUGGGCCGUAAAGCGUCCGUCGGUGGCUGUGUGUGUCUAUUGUUUAUGAGUUUGGCUCAACCUAAUAAGGGCGGUAGAAACUACUCAGCUAGAGUGCGUUCGGGGCAGAGGGAAUUCCUGGUGUAGCGCUACAAUGCGUACAGAUCCGGACGAACACCCGUGGCGAAUGCCCUCUGCUAGGCGGCAACUGACACUGAGGGACGAAAGCUAGGGGC
Molecule: ribosomal RNA, 596 nt
Filed under: Hapalosiphon welwitschii *C2-JAYA
Lineage: Bacteria; Bacillati; Cyanobacteriota; Cyanophyceae; Nostocales; Hapalosiphonaceae
Description: bacterial SSU rRNA
Rfam family: Bacterial small subunit ribosomal RNA
Source: RNAcentral